Molecule: ribosomal RNA, 1150 nt
Filed under: Bacillus sp. (in: firmicutes)
Lineage: Bacteria; Bacillati; Bacillota; Bacilli; Caryophanales; Bacillaceae
Description: bacterial SSU rRNA
Rfam family: Bacterial small subunit ribosomal RNA
Source: RNAcentral
CUAUACUGCAGUCGAGCGAACUGAUGGGAGCUUGCUCCCUGAUGAUUAGCGGCGGACGGGUGAGUAACACGUGGGUAACCUGCCUGUAAGACUGGGAUAACUCCGGGAAACCGGGGCUAAUACCGGAUAACUUUUUUCUUCGCAUGAGGGAGAAUUGAAAGAUGGCUUCGGCUAUCACUUACAGAUGGACCCGCGGCGCAUUAGCUAGUUGGUGAGGUAACGGCUCACCAAGGCGACGAUGCGUAGCCGACUUGAGAGGGUGAUCGGCCACACUGGGACUGAGACACGGCCCAGACUCCUACGGGAGGCAGCAGUAGGGAAUCUUCCGCAAUGGACGAAAGUCUGACGGAGCAACGCCGCGUGAGUGAUGAAGGUUUUCGGAUCGUAAAACUCUGUUGUUAGGGAAGAACAAGUAUCGUUCGAAUAGGGCGGUACCUUGACGGUACCUAACCAGAAAGCCACGGCUAACUACGUGCCAGCAGCCGCGGUAAUACGUAGGUGGCAAGCGUUGUCCGGAAUUAUUGGGCGUAAAGCGCGCGCAGGCGGUUUCUUAAGUCUGAUGUGAAAUCUUGCGGCUCAACCGCAAGCGGCCAUUGGAAACUGGGAGACUUGAGUGCAGAAGAGGAGAGUGGAAUUCCACGUGUAGCGGUGAAAUGCGUAGAGAUGUGGAGGAACACCAGUGGCGAAGGCGACUCUCUGGUCUGUAACUGACGCUGAGGCGCGAAAGCGUGGGGAGCGAACAGGAUUAGAUACCCUGGUAGUCCACGCCGUAAACGAUGAGUGCUAAGUGUUAGAGGGUUUCCGCCCUUUAGUGCUGCAGCUAACGCAUUAAGCACUCCGCCUGGGGAGUACGGCCGCAAGGCUGAAACUCAAAGGAAUUGACGGGGGCCCGCACAAGCGGUGGAGCAUGUGGUUUAAUUCGAAGCAACGCGAAGAACCUUACCAGGUCUUGACAUCCUCUUGACCUCCCUAGAGAUAGGGAUUUCCCUUCGGGGACAGGAGUGACAGGUGGUGCAUGGUUGUCGUCAGCUCGUGUCUUGAGAUGUUGGGUUAAGUCCCAACGAAGGCAACCCUUGACCUUAGUUGCCAGAUUGUUGGGCACUCUAAGGACUGCCGGUGACAACCCGAAGAAGGGGGGUGCGCGAAUCUC